Molecule: ribosomal RNA, 253 nt
Filed under: uncultured bacterium
Lineage: Bacteria
Description: partial 16S ribosomal RNA
Rfam family: Bacterial small subunit ribosomal RNA
Source: RNAcentral
UACGGGGGGAGCAAGCGUUGUUCGGAUUUACUGGGCGUAAAGCGUGCGCAGGCGGUUUUGUAAGCCGGAUGUGAAAUCCCCGGGCUUAACCUGGGAAUGGCAUUCGGGACUGCAAGGCUGGAGUGCGGCAGAGGAGACUGGAAUUCCUGGUGUAGCAGUGAAAUGCGUAGAUAUCAGGAGGAACACCGAUGGCGAAGGCAGGUCUCUGGGCUGACACUGACGCUCAUGCACGAAAGCGUGGGGAGCAAACAGG